Molecule: ribosomal RNA, 292 nt
Filed under: uncultured bacterium
Lineage: Bacteria
Description: partial 16S ribosomal RNA
Rfam family: Bacterial small subunit ribosomal RNA
Source: RNAcentral
GUGGAUUAGAUACCCUGGUAGUCCACGCCGUAAACGAUGAUAACUAGCUGUCCGGGCACUUGGUGCUUGGGUGGCGCAGCUAACGCAUUAAGUUAUCCGCCUGGGGAGUACGGUCGCAAGAUUAAAACUCAAAGGAAUUGACGGGGGCCUGCACAAGCGGUGGAGCAUGUGGUUUAAUUCGAAGCAACGCGCAGAACCUUACCAGCGUUUGACAUGUCUAGUAUGGUUUCCAGAGAUGGAUUCCUUCAGUUCGGCUGGCUAGAACACAGGUGCUGCACGGUCGUCGACAACU